UCUUGACAUCCAGAGAACUUUCCAGAGAUGGAUUGGUGCCUUCGGGAACUCUGAGACAGGUGCUGCAUGGCUGUCGUCAGCUCGUGUUGUGAAAUGUUGGGUUAAGUCCCGCAACGAGCGCAACCCUUAUCCUUGUUUGCCAGCACGUAAUGGUGGGAACUCCAGGGAGACUGCCGGUGAUAAACCGGAGGAAGGUGGGGACGACGUCAAGUCAUCAUGGCCCUUACGAGUAGGGCUACACACGUGCUACAAUGGCGUAUACAGAGGGCUGCCAACCAGCGAUGGUGAGCGAAUCCCAGAAAGUACGUCGUAGUCCGGAUUGGAGUCUGCAACUCGACUCCAUGAAGUCGGAAUCGCUAGUAAUCGUGAAUCAGAAUGUCACGGUGAAUACGUUCCCGGGCCUUGUACACACCGCCCGUCACACCAUGGGAGUGGGCUGCACCAGAAGUAGAUAGCUUAACCUUCGGGAGGGCGUUUACCACGGUGUGGUUCAUGAGCUGGGGUGAAGUCGUAACAAGGUAACCAAGGG
This 529-nucleotide ribosomal RNA is filed under the name uncultured Photobacterium sp. RNAcentral describes it as "bacterial SSU rRNA". It matches the Rfam family "Bacterial small subunit ribosomal RNA", at positions 979 to 1506 of the family's 1533-position model. Lineage: Bacteria; Pseudomonadati; Pseudomonadota; Gammaproteobacteria; Vibrionales; Vibrionaceae. The record is from RNAcentral.